AUACGUAGGGGGCGAGCGUUGUCCGGAAUGAUUGGGCGUAAAGGGCGCGUAGGCGGCCGCUUAAGUCUGGAGUGAAAGUCCUGUUUUCAAGAUGGGAAUUGCUUUGGAUACUGGGGGGCUUGAGUGCAGGAGAGGUUAUCGGAAUUCCCGGUGUAGCGGUGAAAUGCGUAGAGAUCGGGAGGAACACCAGUGGCGAAGGCGGGUAACUGGACUGCAACUGACACUGAGGCGCGAAAGUGUGGGGAGCAAACAGGAUUAGAUACCCUGGUAGUCCACACUGUAAACGAUGAAUGCUAGGUGUAAGAGGUAUCGACCCCUUUUGUGCCGGAGUCAACACAAUAAGCAUUCCGCCUGGGGAGUACGGCCGCAAGGUUGAAACUCAAAUGAAUUGACGGGG
This 397-nucleotide ribosomal RNA is filed under the name uncultured bacterium. RNAcentral describes it as "partial 16S ribosomal RNA". It matches the Rfam family "Bacterial small subunit ribosomal RNA", at positions 523 to 918 of the family's 1533-position model. The record is from RNAcentral.